UUCUGUUUAUUUAUUAUAAUUUUUAUUUUUGGUUGAACUUUUAUUUUUGUUUUUAUUUUUUUUUAUUUGUGAGACUUUUUAAUUUUAUUUGUAUUUUGAACUAUGUUUUUAUUUUUAUUAUUUUGAUGGUUGUUAUUACUCGAGUUUGUAAUCUAUUUCUCUUCUUAUUUAUUUGUGUUUAUCUUCUUAUUAGUUUGCUCGAAAAUAUGCACUAUAUUUAGAUUUCUCAUAAUUUCAGUUUUCACUAUUCUGGCAAUUUCAUCCAAAUUCAGGGCAGUUUAAGUUCUCCCCUUCUCUUUUGAUAUUGUGCUUCUUUUAUGCUUAUAUC
RNAcentral lists this long non-coding RNA (328 nucleotides) under Gossypium raimondii (Peruvian cotton). Its description in RNAcentral is "long non-coding RNA (GRAI_LNC010374)". Lineage: Eukaryota; Viridiplantae; Streptophyta; Magnoliopsida; Malvales; Malvaceae. The record is from RNAcentral.